Molecule: ribosomal RNA, 253 nt
Filed under: uncultured bacterium
Lineage: Bacteria
Description: partial 16S ribosomal RNA
Rfam family: Bacterial small subunit ribosomal RNA
Source: RNAcentral
UACGGAGGGGCUAGCGUUGUUCGGAAUUACUGGGCGUAAAGCGCACGUAGGCGGCUUUGUAAGUUAGAGGUGAAAGCCCGGGGCUCAACUCCGGAAUUGCCUUUAAGACUGCAUCGCUAGAAUUGUGGAGAGGUAAGUGGAAUUCCGAGUGUAGAGGUGAAAUUCGUAGAUAUUCGGAAGAACACCAGUGGCGAAGGCGACUUACUGGACACAUAUUGACGCUGAGGUGCGAAAGCGUGGGGAGCAAACAGGG